GCGUGAACGCCAAUCAGGGCUCGGCUGGGCGCGGGCCGCAGGAACGCAGCCGGACUCGCCAGUUUGAAUGCCCGCUGGGUUAUUCUCAGCGCUCCGCGGGUGGAAAAGAGGGACGUCAUUUGUCCCUAAACAGAAUAACCUGAGACCGCUGGUACCAUGGCUGUGGACGUGUCGGAUCGUGGGAAUCCCUAGCGCUGGUCGCGCUCCUGAGUCCGCUUCCAAACCUCAUUCACGACCCGAAAAGGAUGCAUGCAUAUAUAUGUGUGUGUGUAUGCACACAUAUAUAUGCUUUAGCGGAAUGGAAUAAAUAAUAUCUAUAAAAUAA
Long non-coding RNA from Equus caballus (horse), 325 nucleotides. RefSeq lists it as uncharacterized. The record is from RefSeq and is a predicted model, not a curated record. NCBI's taxonomy places the organism in Eukaryota, Metazoa, Chordata, Mammalia, Perissodactyla, Equidae.